RNAcentral lists this ribosomal RNA (432 nucleotides) under uncultured bacterium. Its description in RNAcentral is "partial 16S ribosomal RNA". It matches the Rfam family "Bacterial small subunit ribosomal RNA", at positions 29 to 506 of the family's 1533-position model. The record is from RNAcentral.
AACGAACGCUGGCGGCAUGCCUAACACAUGCAAGUCGAACGAGACCUUCGGGUCUAGUGGCGCACGGGUGCGUAACGCGUGGGAACCUGCCCUUAGGUUCGGAAUAACUCCCCGAAAGGGGUGCUAAUACCGGAUAAUGUCUUCGGACCAAAGAUUUAUCGCCUUUGGAUGGGCCCGCGUUGGAUUAGCUAGUUGGUAGGGUAAAAGCCUACCAAGGCGACGAUCCAUAGCUGGUCUGAGAGGAUGAUCAGCCACACUGGGACUGAGACACGGCCCAGACUCCUACGGGAGGCAGCAGUGGGGAAUAUUGGACAAUGGGCGAAAGCCUGAUCCAGCAAUGCCGCGUGAGUGAUGAAGGCCUUAGGGUUGUAAAGCUCUUUUACCCGGGAUGAUAAUGACAGGACCGGGAGAAUAAGCUCCGGCUACCUCCGU